CAGUCGCCGCGGUAAUACGUAGGUGGCAAGCGUUAUCCGGAAUUAUUGGGCGUAAAGCGCGCGCAGGCGGUUUCUUAAGUCUGAUGUGAAAGCCCACGGCUCAACCGUGGAGGGUCAUUGGAAACUGGGGAACUUGAGUGCAGAAGAGAAAAGCGGAAUUCCACGUGUAGCGGUGAAAUGCGUAGAGAUGCGGAGGAACACCAGUGGCGAAGGCGGCUUUUUGGUCUGUAACUGACGCUGAGGCGCGAAAGCGUGGGGAGCAAACAGGAUUAGAUACCCCAGUAGUCCCUGUCUCUUAUAA
RNAcentral lists this ribosomal RNA (301 nucleotides) under uncultured bacterium. RNAcentral describes it as "partial 16S ribosomal RNA". It matches the Rfam family "Bacterial small subunit ribosomal RNA", at positions 509 to 809 of the family's 1533-position model. The record is from RNAcentral.